RNAcentral lists this ribosomal RNA (301 nucleotides) under uncultured bacterium. RNAcentral describes it as "partial 16S ribosomal RNA". It matches the Rfam family "Bacterial small subunit ribosomal RNA", at positions 509 to 807 of the family's 1533-position model. The record is from RNAcentral.
CAGUAGCCGCGGUAAUACGAAGGGUGCAAGCGUUACUCGGAAUUACUGGGCGUAAAGCGUGCGUAGGUGGUGGUUUAAGUCCGUUGUGAAAGCCCUGGGCUCAACCUGGGAAUUGCAGUGGAUACUGGGUCACUAGAGUGUGGUAGAGGAUAGUGGAAUUUCCGGUGUAGCAGUGAAAUGCGUAGAGAUCGGAAGGAACAUCUGUGGCGAAGGCGACUAUCUGGGCCAACACUGACACUGAGGCACGAAAGCGUGGGGAGCAAACAGGAUUAGAUACACCCGUAGUCCCUGUCUCUUAUAC